AGUGAACGCUGGCGGCAGGCCUAAUACAUGCAAGUCGAACGGCAGCACAGCAGAGCUUGCUCUGUGGGUGGCGAGUGGCGGACGGGUGAGGAAUACAUGGGAAUCUGCCCAGUCGUGGGGGAUAACGUAGGGAAACUUACGCUAAUACCGCAUGCGCCCUUCGGGGGAAAGCCGGGGACCUUCGGGCCUGGCGCGAUUGGAUGAGCCCAUGUCGGAUUAGCUAGUUGGCGGGGUAAUGGCCCACCAAGGCGACGAUCUGUAGCUGGUCUGAGAGGACGACCAGCCACACUGGGACUGAGACACGGCCCAGACUCCUACGGGAGGCAGCAGUGGGGAAUUUUGGACAAUGGGCGAAAGCCUGAUCCAGCCAUGCCGCGUGCAGGAUGAAGGCCUCGGUUGUAACUGCUUUGUACGGUACGAAAGACUACCUUCUAAUAAGGGUACCGAGUGACGGUACCGUAACGAAUAAGACACCGGCUAACUACGUAGUCCAGCAGCCGAC
Molecule: ribosomal RNA, 502 nt
Filed under: uncultured bacterium
Lineage: Bacteria
Description: bacterial SSU rRNA
Rfam family: Bacterial small subunit ribosomal RNA
Source: RNAcentral